RNAcentral lists this ribosomal RNA (342 nucleotides) under uncultured bacterium. RNAcentral's name for it is "bacterial SSU rRNA". It matches the Rfam family "Bacterial small subunit ribosomal RNA", at positions 28 to 352 of the family's 1533-position model. The record is from RNAcentral.
GACGAACGCUGGCGGUGUGCCUCAAACAUGCAAGUCGAGGGAGGGUUGGCGAGUGGCUUGCCAUUCGUUCAACUCUACCGGCAAACGGGUGAGUAACACGUGGGAAACCUGCCCUGAAGACGGGGACAACUUCGGGAAACCGGGGCUAAUACCCGAUACCCUCCACGGGGGGCAUCCUCUGUGGAGGAAAGGUUCCGCAAGGUUCGCUUCAGGAGGGUCCCGCCGGCCUAUCAGCUAGUUGGUGGGGUAACGGCCUACCAAGGCUAUGACGGGUAGCUGGUCUGAGAGGACGAUCAGCCACACUGGGACUGAGACACGGCCCAGACUCCUACGGGAGGCAGC